GCAGAGGCAAAUCUCUGAAUCUCUGACCCCGGUGAAACCCUGAAUCUCGGGGUGGGGGAGGGGGCACACUCCCACCAUGUGUCCAGAAAUUAAUCUUCUUCCCUUCCUCAUGCACAAACGCCUACUGCGAAGCAGUGAUCUGUGAUCGUGUGGCGGUGGGAACAGUCUGCGGUCAUGAGAGCCCGUGUUGUAGCCUGACACCUGGCUCUGCAGGCGAAGUCAGGACUGUGUGCCAGCGAAUCAGCGAGACGGGGAGGCAGGGAGACACGCGGUGACCAG
RNAcentral lists this long non-coding RNA (279 nucleotides) under Lepisosteus oculatus (spotted gar). RNAcentral's name for it is "lncRNA (ENSLOCG00000021508.1)". Lineage: Eukaryota; Metazoa; Chordata; Actinopteri; Semionotiformes; Lepisosteidae. The record is from RNAcentral.